UGACCUCUCGCUCCUCUCAACCAGCCAGUCGAUGUUCACCGGCUGGAGAUUGAGAGCGUAGAAAACCAGAAUAAACCAAAAGAGAAGUAGAACUUUACCUCCUGGACUGAUCCAACAAACUCCACCUGGACUAAGCAGCACAAACCAGAAGUUCAGGACGGAGGCCGAUUUGAUCUGGAGGAGAUUCAGCAUCUCCAGCAUCUCUUUCCAGGUGAUGUUUGGGAUGGAGAAGUCUUCAGGGAGUCUUCAGUUCUUAGCUGAGAUCUUUGGCAGAUCCUCUUUUGAUGUCUUCAGUCCCUCCUUCCUCCCUUCUUGUGGCUGAUGUUUCUGAAGGCCACAACUUUGAAAAAGCCAAAGCUUGGAGAGCGACAGCAGGCUGAUUCUGUGCCGCUCUGCACUCUGAUUCUACAGCUACGACUCUCAAACAGGCUGUGAGGAACAUCUCACUCUGCAGACACACACCUGGAACAUACUUAUGACGGCUGAAUUGCGCCACCUGCUGUUACCACGUGGUGCACGUAGGGCCCAAAGGACAGGGAGGAUUGUGGGUAAAUCCUCCAUAGAAUUGAGGAUUAAAAAGGAUGACACGUGAUGCCCACACCUCACAGGGGGCCACAGGCCUCUCCUACAUGUUACUCCCAUGAGCCUCGGCUCUAGUUCGCUGAAUGCGUCGCUCCACCCAAAGUGGGUGAAGUGAAAGUGGAAGAGCCGCCGGCGUGCUCCUGGUCCCUGAUUAUUCUGCAGAGCUCCACUAAGAAUCAAUCAAUUAAAGAAGAAGAGAAGCAAAGGUCGUCUUCAGCGACCCGCAGUGAUGUGAUUUCACUUGGAGGAAGGUUCCUCCCCCUGUUGCAUAACCAGUGGAAUGUCAGGUUUCCCUCACAGCUGACCUUUAGUAAACACACACACGUGUACACACACACAGCAUGUGUGCAGUCACACGCGUGUCGACUUCCAAACUCCUCGUUCUUGAUCAAUUAUUCAAACGUUACGCGUCGUGUCCGUGAGGCUUUGAGCUGAAUAAUUAGAACAGUCACUUCGUUCCUCCUUUUAAAGGGACAGUGACUCGUUCCUCCUCGACAGCCUCCAAAGUUCUGAGAGCGAAACACUUUCUCGGAGGAAAAGAAGUAAAUAUUGACUUUUAAACUCCAUCUUGUUGUGGAUGCACAGCUGUUUGUUCACAUGGAGCUCGAGGUUUUCCCACGACAAGGAUCACGAGGCAAACCGGAGACGUGCCACUUCUUUCAUGAGGCUGAGCUUGAUUUAGAACCUUGAUGACACAUUUGUGUCCAUGCAGAGAGAAUUUCUAUCUGUGAUAUUUUAAGGUACAAAUUCUUCUUUAUUAAACUCGGCCGGAUUGAAAUGUAAAUAAUUUAGAAUUCAACAUUUAUUAAGCAGGUAUGAAUUAUACAUUCAUGCAAAAUCUUGGCAAUGGGACUCCAUCCUGAUAUAGGAUAGAAGGGUGGAGAAGUCGGAAAAGACCCAAUGACUGGAGGGGGGGGGUCGUAUCGGA
Molecule: long non-coding RNA, 1510 nt
Organism: Gasterosteus aculeatus aculeatus (three-spined stickleback)
Lineage: Eukaryota; Metazoa; Chordata; Actinopteri; Perciformes; Gasterosteidae
Source: Ensembl